AGUGAACGCUGGCGGUAGGCCUAACACAUGCAAGUCGAACGGCAGCACAGUAAGUGCUUGUUCUUACGGGUGGCGAGUGGUGGAUGGGUGAGGAAUACAUCGGAAUCUACUUUUUCGUGGGGGAGAACGUAGGGACACAUACGCUAUUACCGCAUAGGACCUACGGGUGAAAGCAGGGGAUCUUCCGCCCUCGCGUGAUCGUAUGAGCCGAGGUCGGAUUAGCUAGUUGGAGGGGUAAAGGCCCACCAAGGCGACGAUCCGUAGCUGGUCUGAGAGGAUGAUCAGCCACACUGGAACUGAGACACGGUCCAGACUCCUACGGGAGGCAGCAGUGGGGAAUAUUGGACAAUGGGCGCAAGCCUGAUCCAGCCAUACCGCGUGUGUGAAGAAGGUCUUCGGGUUGUAAAGCCCUUUUGGUUGGGAAGAAAAGCAGUAGGUUAAUACCCCGCUGUUCUGACGGUACCCAAAGAAUAAGCACCGGCUAACUUCGUG
RNAcentral lists this ribosomal RNA (492 nucleotides) under uncultured bacterium. RNAcentral's name for it is "partial 16S ribosomal RNA". It matches the Rfam family "Bacterial small subunit ribosomal RNA", at positions 29 to 507 of the family's 1533-position model. The record is from RNAcentral.